Molecule: ribosomal RNA, 440 nt
Filed under: uncultured bacterium
Lineage: Bacteria
Description: partial 16S ribosomal RNA
Rfam family: Bacterial small subunit ribosomal RNA
Source: RNAcentral
CCUACGGGGGGCUGCAGUGGGGAAUAUUGGACAAUGGGCGCAAGCCUGAUCCAGCCAUGCCGCGUGAGUGAUGAAGGCCUUAGGGUUGUAAAGCUCUUUCAGUGGGGAAGAUAAUGACGGUACCCACAGAAGAAGCCCCGGCUAACUUCGUGCCAGCAGCCGCGGUAAUACGAAGGGGGCUAGCGUGGUUCGGAUUUACUGGGCGUAAAGCGCACGUAGGCGGAUCGUUAAGUCGGGGGUGAAAUCCCGGGGCUCAACCCCGGAACUGCCUUCGAUACUGGCGAUCUUGAGUCCGGAAGAGGUGAGUGGAACUCCUAGUGUAGAGGUGGAAUUCGUAGAUAUUAGGAAGAACACCAGUGGCGAAGGCGGCUCACUGGUCCGGUACUGACGCUGAGGUGCGAAAGCGUGGGGAGCAAACAGGAUUAGAUACCCGUGUAGUC